Molecule: non-coding RNA, 23 nt
Filed under: Arabidopsis thaliana (thale cress)
Lineage: Eukaryota; Viridiplantae; Streptophyta; Magnoliopsida; Brassicales; Brassicaceae
Source: RNAcentral
GUAGAAAAGGUGUCUAUUCCCUA